ACCAUGCAGAUGAAGCCUCUGGUUAACAAGCUGGAGCACACUUACUUUCCAUUCUUUGGCCUCGAGAGGUGCAUUUCAGGCCUGUUUGGUCCUCCAAAAGCAAUGUUUAGUUGGCCCAAACUGCUACUUUCCAUAGCAAAGCCUUUUCCAGAGGAACAUAACUGUUCUGCCUUACUGUUACAGACUUUAGAAGCACAGGCCCAGCCCUAGCAUCUCUGGAAACCUCCAUCACUAUUGUAUUUUCUCCCCAUUUUUGAUAACACCUUCUACAUUACAAGUAUCUGCUGUCUUCCAGAAGUGUAUCAAAUGAUGCAACAAACUCAUCUCGUUUUCAUUUCAACUGGAAUUAAAAUCCGAGGGAUUUUAAUUAUUGAUUCAUUGUUGGUCUGUUAUUCUUUAAAAACAUGCAGCCCUGUGCAUGUUUGUUCUUGAAAGCAAGCUCUGCCUCCACUGAGCAGCUGCAGGAUCACACGCUGUGGGGAACCUCUCACACGGUGUUUGAUGUACUGUACCACAACUCUCCUGCUUCUGAUUUAGCACCUUUCAUAGGAUUUAUGAACCACAGCUGUACCUGCCACAACCUAAUGCCAGGAUUUGGGAACCCUGCUAGCAGGCUCAACCAGCAGAUGCAAUCAUCCAUCUUGCCAACUUUUUCCCCUGAAAGUCUCCUAGUUACAGCAGCAUUUUACUCUGCAAGUAAAUCUGUGUGCUCAGAGCUCCAUAUUGCUGCAGCUAGCCUAUUUCCAGCAUCUAAGCUUCCCAGGUGUGAUGUGUUUAUACUGCAUGAAGGGCUAACCUUGCCCUCACACACAGUUUCUCUUUGACACCAGCUUUGUAGUAAGGGAUAGCAGCCUACUGCUGCCUCGCACUACCUUCUGUGGCCAGUAAGGAAAGCAGUCUUUACUCUCCUCUUGAAUCCAGCGUCCUCUCACAUUUCUCACCCAUCGUCUCUGGAGAAGAAAGCCACCUAGCACAUUUGAAUCAAUCCCCCAUAGCUACUGCUUCCUAUCACGGGUAUGUGGUCCAAGGCAUAAUGUCAUCCUUAAAGGUUAUGUCCAUCCUGUUCACUUU
This 1071-nucleotide long non-coding RNA is filed under the name Anas platyrhynchos platyrhynchos (common mallard). RNAcentral's name for it is "lncRNA (ENSAPLG00000020935.1)". Lineage: Eukaryota; Metazoa; Chordata; Aves; Anseriformes; Anatidae. The record is from RNAcentral.